Molecule: non-coding RNA, 46 nt
Filed under: unclassified sequences
Description: SAM-SAH-Weickhmann-2018 RNA
Rfam family: SAM/SAH riboswitch aptamer
Source: RNAcentral
CUGCCACAACGGCUUCCUGACGUGGCAGAAUAAAUCAAAUGGAGCA